CAAGCCCUCGAGGAAACUAAAUGAACAGAACACGAAGAAGAAAGGACAGGAAAACGAUAAGAAGUUUCGAAACUAAUCUAGAUUUGCCCCAGGAGUGCAGGAAGAUGGCAAGAAUGAUGAAAGUCGACUCGGAGGAUGCCUAAGGCCGAGGAGGAUGCUAGAGGAAGCUGGAGCUCUUGGAGAAAAGGAGGGGAACCGAGGGAUUCACUCAGGCAAAAUGAAACCCCUGA
Molecule: long non-coding RNA, 230 nt
Filed under: Elaeis guineensis (African oil palm)
Lineage: Eukaryota; Viridiplantae; Streptophyta; Magnoliopsida; Arecales; Arecaceae
Description: long non-coding RNA (EGUI_LNC050634)
Source: RNAcentral